Molecule: long non-coding RNA, 1310 nt
Organism: Aricia agestis (brown argus)
Lineage: Eukaryota; Metazoa; Arthropoda; Insecta; Lepidoptera; Lycaenidae
Exons: 2
Source: RefSeq, a predicted model, not a curated record
UGACAGCUCGAGAUUGUUGCUCUAUUCCGCUAGGUAUAUUAACUUUAUGAGCUCGAUACAAUUUUUGCUUCUUUCUCGCUUAUGUCACAGGACAGACAUAAAACAUUUAAACAAACUUCUUGAUUAACAACUUUUAGAACAAACAUGUUAGAAAAUUGACUUAAAAUUCUUACUUUUGUCAAAUUCUCUGUUUUUGCUCAGUACCGUUGAAAAAACCUAUGUGAUGUGUUUAGAAACCACUAAAUGUUUAUAAAAUUAUAGUCACAGUGUGGCCAUAACAACGGAACUAAGUUGUUGUAAUAGUUUGACAUUUUUGCUUUGGCAACACAACUCGAAGCACAGACCUUUCGAUAUUUUACGCUGUGGAUUUUGACUACUAUUAAUGAAAAUGUACUAGAUAAUAAAUUUUAAUAUAUUUCAAGCUUAUUUUUAUCAGCCGUUUAAAUUUUAACACUCAAUAAUAAAAUUACUAAUUCGGUGGAUACAGUGAUGUUUUGUAUGAUUUGGGCUAUGGUUUUUGAGUAUGACUGAAGAUAAUAAUGAAAUUGUCGAUGCUGCGACUAUACUACAAAAUUGAAGGUGUUGUGAAUUAACUUGCAACGCGUUUUUAUAAUAUAAUGCUGAGGAAAUUGACGUAUUUAAGAAUGAGGUCCUAGGCUGUUGAGACUAGUAAGUCUAGUAGUAACUAGCUUUGCAAGUAUAAAUACACAUGGGGCUGCUUGCGCCAGUCUUUUAAUCUGAAAUGUGAUGCCUCUCUUACUCUUCUUAUAUUUAAGAAAGAGAAAAAAUUACAUUUCGUCACAGGUGGCACUAGUGAACUUUAAAACUUUUUUUUUCCGUCAGAAUAUAACUUGUACCUGGCAGCCCUGGGAUCUUGGUCUAUAAAUACGUUUUUAUCACAGCAAAGUUGCGUGCUGUGGAGUCUGCUAGUGUGUGUAUGUGUGUGGUGUGCUGCGUACAAAUAUUCCAUUUUAUAUAUUGUCUUACGGCGGUUUAUUUACACUAUUUAUUUAGUACUCGGACGACGUCCGGUGUCGCCGCUAUUUAUUGUUUACAAGUUGCCAGCCUCGACAGCAAUAACCGAGUUUCAUAUACAAUAUUCUCCGCUGGCAAUAUAUUUGAUAGUAUUUUUUCUUUUGACUAGUGGAAUCGACGGUUUAUUAUUUCGUUUAUAAUGUAGAUAAAUUAUUUUUAUGACGCUAUUGAUUUCGACCAAUACGACGCAUCGACGCUAUUUCAUAUGUCACUUAGCUAGGGACUACUGUAAAGAUUAAUGUAACUAUUUAAUUAAAAUAUAUAAGUUUUUCAAC